CGAACGAGUUCUCGAUUGAUGAUCGGUGCUUGCACCGAGAUUCAACAUGGAACGAGUGGCGGACGGGUGAGUAACACGUGGGUAACCUGCCCUUAAGUGGGGGAUAACAUUUGGAAACAGAUGCUAAUACCGCAUAGAUCCAAGAACCGCAUGGUUCUUGGCUGAAAGAUGGCGUAAGCUAUCGCUUUUGGAUGGACCCGCGGCGUAUUAGCUAGUUGGUGAGGUAAUGGCUCACCAAGGCGAUGAUACGUAGCCGAACUGAGAGGUUGAUCGGCCACAUUGGGACUGAGACACGGCCCAAACUCCUACGGGAGGCAGCAGUAGGGAAUCUUCCACAAUGGACGCAAGUCUGAUGGAGCAACGCCGCGUGAGUGAAGAAGGCUUUCGGGUCGUAAAACUCUGUUGUUGGAGAAGAAUGGUCGGCAGAGUAACUGUUGUCGGCGUGACGGUAUCCAACCAGAAAGCCACGGCUAACUACGUGCCAGCAGCCGCGGUAAUACGUAGGUGGCAAGCGUUAUCCGGAUUUAUUGGGCGUAAAGCGAGCGCAGGCGGUUUUUUAAGUCUGAUGUGAAAGCCCUCGGCUUAACCGAGGAAGCGCAUCGGAAACUGGGAAACUUGAGUGCAGAAGAGGACAGUGGAACUCCAUGUGUAGCGGUGAAAUGCGUAGAUAUAUGGAAGAACACCAGUGGCGAAGGCGGCUGUCUGGUCUGUAACUGACGCUGAGGCUCGAAAGCAUGGGUAGCGAACAGGAUUAGAUACCCUGGUAGUCCAUGCCGUAAACGAUGAAUGCUAGGUGUUGGAGGGUUUCCGCCCUUCAGUGCCGCAGCUAACGCAUUAAGCAUUCCGCCUGGGGAGUACGACCGCAAGGUUGAAACUCAAAGGAAUUGACGGGGGCCCGCACAAGCGGUGGAGCAUGUGGUUUAAUUCGAAGCAACGCGAAGAACCUUACCA
Molecule: ribosomal RNA, 951 nt
Filed under: Lacticaseibacillus paracasei
Lineage: Bacteria; Bacillati; Bacillota; Bacilli; Lactobacillales; Lactobacillaceae
Description: bacterial SSU rRNA
Rfam family: Bacterial small subunit ribosomal RNA
Source: RNAcentral